GGAGAUGGGGAUAGGUUGACCUCAGGUCUCCCCACUGGAAGCCUGAGGUAGGAGGAGCGGGGAUAGGUUGACCCCAGGUCUCCCCACUGGAAUCCCGAGGUAGAGGAGCGGGGGUAGGUUGACCUCAGGUCUCCCCACUGGAAGCCUGAGGUAGGGAGAGUGGGGGUAGGUUGACCUCAGGUCUCCCCACUGGAAGCCUGAGGUAGGGAGAUGGGGGUAGGUUGACCUCAGGUCUCCCCACUGGAAGCCUGAGGUAGGGAGAUGGGGGUAGGUUGACCUCAGGUCUCCCCACUUUGUGCGAAAUCGUUCAGAAUAAUAUAAAACCAGUCUACACACCACCAAGGUGAAUUGGUUUAGUCUUGACUCUUGGUUGACAGUGUUGGGGGAUGGGUAAUGUAGUCUUGACUCUUGGUUGACAGUGUUGGGUGUUGGGUAAUGUAGUCUUGACUCUUGGUUGACAGUGUUGGGUGAUGGGUAAUGUAGUCUUGACUCUUGGUUGACAGUGUUGGGGGAUGGGUAAUGUAGUCUUGACUCUUGGUUGACAGUGUUGGGGGAUGGGUAAUGUAGUCUUUACUCUUGGUUGAGUGUUGGGUGAUGGGUAAUGUAGUCUUGACUCUUGGUUGACAGUGUUGGGGGAUGGGUAAUGUAGUCUUGACUCUUGGUUGACAGUGUUGGGGGAUGGGUAAUGUAGUCUUGACUCUUGGUUGACAGUGUUGGGUGAUGGGUAAUGUAGUCUUGACUCUUGGUUGACAGUGUGGGGUGAUGGGUAAUGUAUUGAUGUUCGAGUUGCCAAAUCAACACAAAUUUCUUUC
Molecule: long non-coding RNA, 812 nt
Filed under: Salmo salar (Atlantic salmon)
Lineage: Eukaryota; Metazoa; Chordata; Actinopteri; Salmoniformes; Salmonidae
Description: lncRNA (ENSSSAG00000115714.1)
Source: RNAcentral